Molecule: ribosomal RNA, 2890 nt
Filed under: Dehalococcoidia bacterium
Lineage: Bacteria; Bacillati; Chloroflexota; Dehalococcoidia
Description: 23S ribosomal RNA
Rfam family: Bacterial large subunit ribosomal RNA
Source: RNAcentral
UAAGAAGGGGGGAUGGUGGAUGCCUUGGUGCUGGUGGCCGAGGAAGGACGCGGCAAGACGGCGAAACGCCCCGGGGAGCGGUCGUGCGCGCAGUGAGCCGGGGGUCUCCGAAUGGGGCAACCCGCCAGGGGUCAUACCCUGGCAUCCCGUUCCGUCCGGAGCGGGAGGGGCACCGUGGGAACUGAAACAUCUUAGUACCACGAGGAACAGAAAGCAUUCCCCAAGUAGUGGUGAGCGAACGGGGAGCCGCCUAAACGUCCUGCGUGUCAAGCCGGGCGGCGUUGCGCAGGACGGGUUGCGGGACCAGCGCAGGGAAGGCGCCCGACUUCCCACGUCUCCCACCUUGCAAGCCGAAGUCGGCUGGAACGCCGCGCCAGAGCGGGCGAACGCCCCGUAGGCGUCUCAAGGUGGCAGGCGGGGCACUGGCUCCCAAGUAGGUCGGGACCCGGGAAAUCCCGACUGAAGCUGGGUGGACCACCACCCAAGGCUACAUACCACCAGCAACCAAUAGCGGACCAGUACCGUGAGGGAACGGUGAAAAGCACCCCGGGAGGGGAGUGAAACAGACCCUGAACCCAUCCCCCUACCAGCCGUCGGAGCCUGGACCUCCAGGUGACGGCGUGCCUAUUGAAGAAUGAGCCGGCGAGUUCCCCUCGGCGGCAGGCAAAGGUGUUCAGCACCACAGCCAGAGCGAAAGCGAGUCUGAACAGGGCGUGCGUCGCCGGGGGGAGACCCGAAACCGGGUGAGCUAUCCAUCGCCAGGAUGAAGCGUGGGUAAUGCCACGUGGAGGUCCGCACCCAGGGCCGUUGCAAAGGCACGGGAGGAGCGGUGGAUAGAGGUGAAAUGCCAAGCGAACCCGGAGCUAGCUGGUUCUCCCCGAAAUGCAUCGCGGUGCAGCCUCGGGCGCUCCCCCACGGAGGUAGCGCGCUGGUUCGGCGCGGGGGCAAUCGCCUACCAACCCGAGCUAAUCGCCCAAUGCCGUGGGGUGUGAGCCCGGGAGUGAGACGGCGGGGGCUAAGCUCCGUCGUCAAAAGGGAAACAACCCAGACCGGCAGCUAAGGUCCCGAAGUCUGCGCUUAGUGGGCAAGGAGGUGGGUCCGCCCAGACAGCCAGGAGGUUGGCUUAGAAGCAGCCACCCUCGAACGAGUGCGUAAUAGCUCACUGGUCGAGUGGACCUGCGCCGACAAUGUCCCGGGGCUUAAGCGCAGCACCGACGCUCCGGCUGGCAAAGCGAUUUGCCAGGGUAGGGGAGCGUGCCACUCAGCAGCGAAGGGAACGUGGAAACGUUGCUGGAGCGGGUGGCAGUGCGAAUGCCGGCAUGAGUAGCGCAAGGGAGGUGUGAAUCCUCCCCGCCGCAGGCCUGAGGGUUCCUACGGAAGGGUCGUCCGCGUAGGGGUAGUCGGGCCUAAGCCGAGGGCGCAAGCCGUAGGCGAUGGACAGCAGGUCAAUAUUCCUGCACCGGUCCAGCAGCAGUGAUGGGGGUGGGGACGCUUCCCCCCUCUGGCGGCCGUGCGAUGGAGUAGCACGGUUGCUGGCAAGCCCAGCAGGACGAUGCUGGCGACAGCAUCGGAGUGCCGGGGGGCGGGGGGCCAAGAAAAGCCAUCCCCGGAGCCCUGGACCGCCCGUACCGCAAACCGACACUGGUAGGCUGCGGUCAAGGCCGUAAGGCGUUCGGGUGAGCCCUCGUCAAGGAACUCGGCAACUUGGCCCCGUACCUUCGGAAGAAGGGGUGCCAGCCCGGUACCCACCAGCGGUGGGUGCUGGGUGUGGCCGCAGGGCAUCGGCCCAGGCGACUGUUUACCAAAAACACAGGUCUCCGCGAAGCCGUAAGGCGCAGUAUGGGGGCUGACGCCUGCCCAGUGCCGGAAGGUUAAGGGGAGGGCUUCACGGCCCAAACUGAAGCCCCGGUGAACGGCGGCCGUAACUAUAACGGUCCUAAGGUAGCGAAAUUCCUUGUCGGGUAAGUUCCGACCCGCACGAAUGGCGUCACGACCUGGGCGCUGUCUCGACGAGGGGCCCGGCGAAAUUGCACUCAGCGUGAAGAUGCGUUGUUCCCGCGACUGGACAAAAAGACCCCGUGGAGCUUUACUGCAGCUUGGCGUUGGGCCGGGGUCGACGAUGCGUAGGAUAGGUGGGACGCGACGAACGGCCCCUUGCGGGGGGUCGGGAGCGGCCGGUGAAAUACCACUCUUCGUCGACUUCGGUCCUCACGGGACGAACGGCGUCUCGGACCGCGCCUGGUGGGCAGUUUGACUGGGGCGGUCGCCUCCUAAAGCGUAACGGAGGCGCCCAAAGGUUCCCUCAGGCCGGAGGGCAAUCGGCCAGGGCGUGUAUUGGCAGAAGGGAGCUUGACGGCAAGGCAGACGCGCCGAGCCGGGACGAAAGUCGGGCAAAGUGAUCCCACGGUCCCGCGUGGAAGGGCCGUGGCGUAGCGGAUAAAAGCUACCCCGGGGAUAACAGGCUGAUCCUGCCCAAGAGUCCCCAUCGACGGCAGGGUUUGGCACCUCGAUGUCGGCUCGUCGCAUCCUGGGGCUGUAGUCGGUCCCAAGGGUUGGGCUGUUCGCCCAUGAAAGCGGUACGCGAGCUGGGUUCAGAACGUCGUGAGACAGUUCGGUCUCUCUCCGUCGCGGGCGGAGGGGAUUUGCGGGAAGUCGUCGGUAGUACGAGAGGACCCCGACGAGCGGGCCGCUGGUGUGUGGGUCGUCCCGCCCGGGGCGUCGCCCAGUAGCUAUGCCCGUUGGGGAGAAGCGCUGAAAGCAUCUAAGCGCGAAGCCCCGCCCAAGAUGAGAUCCCCCACUGCACUCAGCAGGUAAGGCCACCGGAAGACGACCGGUUCGAUAGCCGGCCGGUGGACAGCGGGUAACCGUUGCAGCCAAGCCGGACUAAUGG